Molecule: transfer-messenger RNA, 366 nt
Filed under: chicken gut metagenome
Rfam family: transfer-messenger RNA
About the family: Bacterial tmRNA, also known as 10Sa RNA or SsrA, is named for its dual tRNA and mRNA-like properties. Its role is to liberate the mRNA from a stalled ribosome. To accomplish this part of the tmRNA is used as a reading frame that ends in a translation stop signal.
Source: RNAcentral
GGGGCUGUUAUUGGCUUCGACGGAAAGUAUGAAUCUAUAGCUGCAAGUGGAAGGUACUCCUUACGUACAAACAAAAAAUAAAUAACAAAACAAAUAAUUAUGCUUUCGCAGCUUGUGCUGCCUAGUCUCUAAUAGAGGAAGCGCUUCUUUUUAAGUUUUACUCACGGAUUUUUAAAGAGGCUCAUUUAUAGUGAGUUAUACUAUUCUUUUUGUUUAGGGAAGAAUAAUGAAUAUUACUAAACUCGUUAUCUGGUGGGUAUGUUAGUUACCUUUAUCAUUUAAUUAAAUUAUAAUCACUAACUAAACUUGUAGAGGCUAUAGUGGAAUGCUUUUCGGACACGAGUUCGAAUCUCGUCAGCUCCACCA